GAUGGAAGAACGUAGUGAAAUGCGAUACUUGGUGUGAAUUGCAGAAUCCCGUGAACCAUCGAGUCUUUGAACGCAAGUUGCGCCCGAAGCCUCGGCUAAGGGCACGUCUGCCUGGGCGUCACGCAUCGCGUCUCCCCCAAACCGCCAAGGCGGAGGGGAAGGAAGAUGGCUUCCCGUGCCUCACCCGGCGCGGUUGGCCUAAAUUUGGAGCCCGCGGCACUUAGCUCUCGCGGCGAUAGGUGGUGAACAAGGCCUUGGCCGUGCAAACAACCCGCUGCGAAGCUCUAUGUCACGUGCGCUCGUCGGACCCUUUGAAGUUGCCUUCGGUGACUUAAAACCUUUGCGACCCCAGGUCAGGCGGGGCUACCCGCUGAAUUUAAGCAUAUCAAUAAGCGGAGGA
Molecule: unclassified non-coding RNA, 400 nt
Filed under: soil metagenome
Description: partial contains 5.8S ribosomal RNA, internal transcribed spacer 2, and large subunit ribosomal RNA
Rfam family: 5.8S ribosomal RNA (bases 5-121)
Source: RNAcentral